UUUAGUUUCUUAUAACAGUUCUAUGUCUCUUCUACUAUUAUGCUUUUACGAGGACCUUCCUUCCAUUAAAGAAAGGUGUUUUAUAACAUUCCCUACAGAGAUAUUACCUUACUAGGCUGGAUCUUAUUUUUAUUGCCUGCCUCCAUUUCUAAUCUGACUGUAUUACUUGGUUUCAUUUCUCAGCUCUGAAUGUUAACAACACUGCACAGAUGGAUGUUGUGAUUUUCUUGCAGAGGUUAUUAAGAUUCUAUUUGCUUCUCCUCCCCAAAGUCAUUAAUAAAGAUGGGGAAAACCAAGUUCAAAAGUAAUCCCUGUGUUAUAACAUUAGAAACUCUCCCCCACCCCAAACCAAAUUUAAAAUGCCAUUACUUAACCCUUCCUUUUGUUUUCUCUCAGUCAGUUGAAUCCCUUUUACUAUGUUCAUGGCAAAAGAAAUGUAGCCCAGUUUUGGGAGUUGAAUUUGAUGAGUCCCUGAUCUUCCGUCAUUGUUAAAGUCAGGAUUUAGGACAUUUUUUUUAAUGAAUUAGUAUUAACUGCAUCAAAAGAGCUUAAUGAGAUUCACCUGGCAUGAUUUAUAAGGUGAUUGUUUUUCAUACUUUGCUGAAAAAGAGACAUGCUUUGAUUUGUUAUGCUUUCAAGGAGUAGAAAACAGCAGCUGGGAAAGGAUACUGAAAAGGGUUGAAGUGCGUUAAGGCGCGGUUGCCCUCCUCUGCAACAGAUUGGUGGGGGUAAUUCUGUGUUCAGGCCAUACCGGUGCAGCAGUCUGAACCAGACAGCAUGCAGAAAGGGAAAAUGGAUAAUUACCUAUGGCCAUUCAUUUAACAAUUGAAUACCCACCCUAGACCCUGGGGUGGCAAUGAUGAAUAAGACGGACACAUUCGUUCCUCUGCAGGCAUGUUAUACUGGGGUUAGCUGACAAGUGGAAAGACCUUUUCAGUACAGGAUAAUCAGUUCUCUUACCCAGGAAGUUCAAAUUGCUGUAGGGGCUCAUUGGCAGAUCAACUACCCUGUUUAGAACUAACAGAUAAUGGACAUCUCAUGUUUGAAACUGUUAGCAGUUCCACUGGAACUGGAAUGGAAUAAAAAUGUUGGACGGGGAGUUCCCAUCAUGGCUCAGCAGAAGUGAAUCUGAUUAGUAUGCAUGAGGAUGCAGGAUUGAUCCCUGGCCUCGCUCAGUGGGUUAAUGAUCCGGUGUUGCCAUGAACUGUGGUGUAGGUUGCAGACGUGGCUUGUUGCUGUGGCUGUGGUGUAGGCCAGCAGCUACAGCUCCGAUUUGACCCCUACCCUGGGAACCUCCAUAUGCCAUGGGUGUGGCCCUAAAAAGACAAAAAAAAAAGUUGGAUGGAUCAACAUAGAAUAUUUAUUUACUUGAGUUAGUUAUUGUAGAUUAAUAAUUUAGUUGUAUUAGUUGACAUAAAAGUAAUUUUUAAGACCGAAAGAGGAAGAAACAUGGGAAGUUUUUAGCAACAGUAUUAAACAAUGGAGUUCCUAUUGUGGCUCAGCAGGUUAAAAACCUGACAUAGUGUCUGUGAGUGGGUGGGUUCGAUCCCUGGCCUUGCUCAGUGGUUAGGGAUUUGGCGUUGCCUCAAGCUGGGGCAUAGGUCACAGAUGCGGCUCGGAUCCGGUGUUGCUGUGGCUGUGGCUAGGCUGGCAGCUGCAGCUCCAAUUCAACUGCUAGCGCAGAAACUUCCAUAUGCUGCAGGUGCAGCCGUAAAGAGAAAAAAAAUAAAACACAUAUGGUACUCCAUAUAAUUCCAUAAAAAUCUGAUAAGAAUGUGCAUAAAUGCAAUAUGAAGCUGUAGAAAGAAUACCAUUGAAUUAUUCACUGAUUACUCUUCAUGGCAUAACUAUAGGUUCUUAGUAGACAUUCGUCUAGUUGUCAGAUAGAAUUAAGGAGAUGCAGAGCAGUAGAAUUAGUUGAAAUUGUAAUUAAGUAUGACUGUAUCAGAGGGCAAACUUCAUUUGGGUUAUUUCCAAUGACUGCGAAGGAGGAGCUUUCCAGGAUUGCUUCCUGAGUGAAGUCCAAAUCAGAUGGUCUCUCAUGGGACCAUCCAAUCCCUUCCCUAACAGGGAAAUAGGUAUCUCUCUCCAGUAAACUUCAGAAAGUGUCCUAAACUUAGGUUGGUGCUUUUGGUAAAUCCCAGGAAUGGAGUCUAUUAUGCAAUCCUGAAACCCUCAAAGCUGGCUUUGCCUCAAAGAAAGGGUACCAGCUGAAAUAAACUAGGAGGCGCAGUGUCCUGACAUGGCCAUCCUGGCCUUUAGACUUGUAGAAAUGCCCCUGGUGCAGAGACAGUGCGUCCCAGUCUCUGUACUCUGCUUUGCCUAUAAGAGCAGUGACCUCUGAAAUUGUUAGUUGGAGAAUCUUAGAUGCAGGCUCCAACAGGUGAAUGUCUUUGUUUACAUUCCUAAGUUAUAUUUUUCAUACUUUUUUGGUUCUGGUCUGUUUUUUAUCAUAUCUCUAUUUUAAAAUUUGCUGCUGUGCUAGAAUCUUCCUGGCUCCAUGAAGGGGGAAUUACUUGAAUGGCUAUUUAUAACAUUUCCCUUUCUCCAUCCCCCUAGUCUUUUGCUCUUUUUGAUUACCUGUAUCUUCUACUCUGUAGCAACUGCCGCUCUUGAUUUCAAGUUCUUCUAAUAUUAGAAAAUAGAAAAAUUUCCUCUCUUUUAAAAUUUCCUUUACUUGUCAAUAUCUCCCUAAAAAAUAAGUAAGAAUGAGGAUACACUAAAACAGUUCACAGAAGUAGAGAGGGGGAUAUAGCAGCAGGACCAAAAGCAAAGGAAUAUAUGGAUUAUGGUUAUCCAUUUUUCUGGGGACUCUACCAUUGAUCAGUCUGGGGACUUUGAUGGUUCCUGCCAUUUUAAAAAUGUUGCUUUCUCUAUUUUGACAAUGAUGUGCUGCAGGUAUGGUCUGCUGAAAAUAAGGCUUGAUUUUAAAAAAUUGCACUUUUAACCUGGAUCCUUCUGAGAUGGCAGAUUAUGAAAAAUGAAUUUGAGAAAUGGAACCUAUUGUGAAAAAUCACAUUUGGAUAAUAACUGAAUAUGUGAAAACCAAGCAAGACUCUAGUAUUUUCCCUCUACUGCAAUGUGGCUACAUACCAAGUGAAAAAUAAUACAUUAACAAUGAAUUCUUGUGGCAGUGGAAUUAUUCAGUACCUUUACACUGGUGCUAAAAUGGUAUCAAACUUGAUAAACACAACCCCACAUACAAAUGAGGAAAAGUAUAACUGAGGAAAUCUGAAUAAGAUUACUGGAUUGUAUAAUGUCAGUUUUCCAGUUGUGAUAGUGUAUUGUAGUUUUGUAAAAUGUUACCCCUGGAGCAGGCUGGGAAAAUAUACAGAGGCGCUCUAUUAUUUCUUAUAACUGCAUGUGACUCUAUAAUUAUUUCAAUUAACAUUUCAGUUAAAAAGACUUGCAAUGAAAUCUGUCUGGUUGAUGAUGACUUUGCUUUUGAAAAAAUAAGUCAGCCCAAACGACUUUAAAAAUGAGGGCAUGAGGAUAUGGUUGCAAAGGGAAAACAUCUCUGGAAAUUUUAGCUAACUACUUUACUUGUAAGAAGAAUAUCUUAAUCUAACAGUUUUUUGGAAGGUUUAAUUUAAAAGUUUCAGAGUAAUAUAAGCAAUUUUGAAAUAAUGCAUAAAGAUUCACUUUCAGUGAAUUUUAAAAUGAUGUUAGAAUUGUCAUAUGCGGGGAUUUAAAUGAAAAGAGUUGAAUAGUAGGCACUAUGAUAUAAUUACAUGAUUAUUUAGGGAGCAGAGACUAUAUUCGUUAUGUUUCACAAUCUGUAAAAGAUGAGUUCUUUCCCUUCCCAUCCAGAAGGUAACCUAAACACAUAAAAUCAAGUAACAGGUAAUAAAAAUGCUGAGUUUAUCAUUCCAGGUUAUUGUUUGCCAUUUGAGUGUCUGUGUGUGUGUGAUGUGACCUUGGGAGGCCACAUUCUGUCUACCUGUUCCCUUAGUCAAAGCAUUCUCUGAACUCUCCUUUUGAAAAUGCCUUUGGACACUAUGACGUUAAUUUGGAUAUUGUCUGGGGAAGGACUGUUUGUUUUUUGAGGAGGGUGAAAUAGUCCAGAUCUACCAAGUUAAGUCUGGUGAAGAAAAUGGUAGUUGAGAUUCAGUCAUAUUCCAUUGGGUCAAAAACAAGGGGUUAAUGUAAAACAGUGCAUUUGCUUUUCCUGUGUGGUUUAUUUAUUGAUUCUGAAAAUAAAGUAAGAAAACUUUAGAGCUCAGAGGGGUAAACCUGUAGGACACUCGUUUCUGGGAGUAUGUUUGCCAUGUAGCCAGUUUUAUGACUCUGUGAGCAAAUUUUACACAUAAUACAAUUUGGCAGGUUAGGUAUAAACCAAUCAACCAAGACAUAUUUGUUGAAUACCUGCUAUAUUCCAAAUGAUGAAGGAAUAAGAAGAGUUAGAUAUAUUUCAACCCAGUGAGAUGAUCCUAUUUCAGAUGUUUCAUUUACUCCCUCUACUUAAUUAUUAAUGGACAGACUUACUGCUCUUGACCCAUUUUAUUGAGAGAUGGGUGCUUACUGCAUCCUGGAUUGUGUAUCCAGAGUGGAGUACCUCGCUGGUCUAUGCAAAACUGGAUCCUUGUGGGUCGGAGCUGCUAAGUGCAAGGAACCCUUGUUGACACUGAGCAGAAGGCACCCUGCCAACUCCUAGGAUGAGCUGAUAAAGAGUUUGGGAGAACUCUCACUCUGGACAUUCUGGGGAGAUUUCCUUCUUCAUGGUAAGAGUUGAGAAGUGCUUCUUGAGUCCUUAACCCUAGGAAGGUUAUGCUUUCUCCCCACAAGGGCGCCCAAGCAAAUGCCGUCUUCCCUCUAGUUCAGCUGCAGUUCAAUUCCAAGGUCAAGAAAUCAGGGAAUCCUCCAGGUGUUGGGUGUUGUGCUUGAGAAUGAAAUUGUAGGCUCUGUGUAAACAGAAAUUAAAUCUUCAUCACAUAGGGCUCUGUGAAUUACCCAGAGGCUCUACUCUGCGCCCACAGAUUGUGGGGUGUGAUCAAGGUACUGAAUAUCCAUGUUGCUUCCCCAGUCAGCCUUGUUUCUGCAUGUUAAUAUCUUUGAUCAAGGAUGCAAAGUGAUUUUAAUCUUCUUGCUUCUGUGUUGAAGAAUGAACUUCUUUGCCAUCUCAAAUCAGUUAUGCAAAAAUUUAAUUUAAUGACCUAUUGAGGUCUACAGACUAUGAAAAUAAACAGUAUAUGAGUAUAAAACAAUAAUUGUGUAGAUAAAAUCAUAACAGAAAUAUUUGGUUUACAGGUAUCACAAAAGAACAACUCACUUUUAGAGGGAGAGAAUACAUAGUAUAGAUAACUAGGUAUGUUAAAAAAGAGGAGGGAUCAAAAAAAAAAAGGAGAAUUGGAAUAAAUUGGUAUUUUUCAAUUUUUGUAUUUCUUUAUCUCCAGGUUUUGUGGGCUCCCAUUCCAUGAUAAAAAUUUCCCUAUUAUUAUUCUCUUGGUGGGCCUUGUUAUUAGAGAAAAACUAAAAAUGGAUCCUCCUUUGCUACAUUUUGGUUGAGCAACUUUAUUUUUGGAUUCAGUCAGCAUGAAUAUAAGGCUUUUAUUCAAAUCAAGCUUAUAAAAUAAAAUAUUCUUUCUUUCAAAUUUGCCUCUGUAGCCUAUACCCCUCAUCGGAUGUCAAGAUUAAUUCAGUCAUAGUGAAUACAAGGCUAAUUCUUUACAUAAGAAAGAAAGCAUUGUUUUCCUACAAAUGAGUAGAAACUGCUGAAAGACAGGGCCCCAGCACUGAGCUUUUAUCUCAAGUUCCUGGGAGAGUCAAGGUGCUAAGAGAUAUUAUCCAUUCUCCUCCCAGAUAUUUUUAAAGAUCCCUAGGCCUCCCAUGUGCUAGAAGGUGAGGGAGGAUUUAAAGUCUUUCUGAGAAUGAUUCCUCACCUUACUGUGGUUUUCUAUUACUAAUACAAUACUUAUUUUCCCAAUAUCUGUGACACUUUUUUUUUUUUCCUCCAAGGUAAUGAACACAGGUGACUUCUCUUAAGAAACAGAAUAGUUAAAAGCACCAGAUUUGUUUACACUUAACUUGAAGUGGUUCAAAAUUUUCACCCUCUAAUAUACUUGUUUUUUCUAAGAGAAGCACAGCUAUGUGUUUAUGAAGACUAAAGAAAUUUAACUUUGGAGAAGGAAUGUAACAUUUCAGCUGCUGUUGCCUUUGUUAUUAGCUAUUAUUUAAACCAGGAACUCUAAUUUUCUCUCCUGGGUCUCUCUACUGUCAAGGGUGCAACGGUGUCUCUGAAUGCUGCAGAAGCAGGAAUGAAUCCCUUUUGGCAGUAGAGGCAUUCCAAAAUGUGGAAUAGAGUUUCCACAGGGAAAGAGAUUUUUGCCUCUUCUGUUUGAUGUUCUGACGUGACACAGUAGACCCUCCAGUCCAUUAUUUGUGGAAUGAAUGAAUCAAUUCUCAAGAAAAACUGUGGGCUGUGGGUUUGUUGGAACUUGAUUUCCAGACUUUCACUUGGGGAGGAAAAUGUUAUCAGUGAGUGCCACUGAUGCCUUUUUCCUUUUUUAUUCUAAGAAAAUCUUGCUUCCCCUUCUUCCAGGCUUGAUAUCUGAGGGAACAGAACUCUGUGGCCUAGAUUACCAAACUCUAAUUUCUUCAAGGGGUAUAGUUGAGAAUUUGGAAAGCCUCGGAAUGGCUGCAUCCGCCUUGUAGAGAAGUACCAAUCAGCAGAGGGUCAGGGCCACAUGGCCAGCUGGGCUGGGGGCCCGCCAGUUGUGGAAGCCUUUCUCAGACUCAUCAAAUGCAUGCCUUAGACCUGGCUAAUAAAGUAUAAACCAACAACCAAUGAUUGCAUUUUAGAGUUAUUUUUUCGUCAUAAAAUACUCAAAGGAUGUGAAGAUAGGUUGGAAUGUGUAAAGAAAAGCUAAGAAAGCAGAAUUUUGAUAAGACGAGCAUGUGACUUGUAUAACAGCUCUGAAUCACAGUCUCAAGGAUGGAAUGCUGACAGUUCCUUUCUUACUUGUGAUCGCUAGCAUUUUAUUUCCUCCUGUAACAGAUCACUUUUGAGCCAAUCUUAAGAUGAGAAACUACUUUGAAGAAUUAUGCAUAACGUGGGUUGUAUCUCCCUUGUUAUCAGUGGGGCUUCCACUGCUUAUAGGUGAAUGGAGAUGAUGCCAUGUCUUUGGACAUAACAGCUUUUGAUAGACCAAAUAAUUCCUUUCGAGCCAUGCAGUUGUCUGUAAAUCUGCUUAGUUGGUCCUCCAGAGUGAUGACAUUUAAGGUACAGUUGAUACACUGCUUAUCUCAAAGAAACAUUUUAAAAUUAAUUCGUCAGACCUGUGCAAUAUUUUAUCUUUUCGGUUUAAUAAUAUCCAAAUGUGCUUUAGUUGCUUU
Molecule: long non-coding RNA, 7332 nt
Filed under: Sus scrofa (pig)
Lineage: Eukaryota; Metazoa; Chordata; Mammalia; Artiodactyla; Suidae
Description: lncRNA (ENSSSCG00030041585.1)
Source: RNAcentral